Molecule: ribosomal RNA, 253 nt
Filed under: uncultured bacterium
Lineage: Bacteria
Description: partial 16S ribosomal RNA
Rfam family: Bacterial small subunit ribosomal RNA
Source: RNAcentral
GACGUAGGGCGCGAGCGUUGUCCGGAUUUAUUGGGCGUAAAGAGCUCGUAGGCGGCUUGUCGCGUCGUCCGUGAAAACCUGGGGCUCAACCCCAGGCUUGCGGUCGAUACGGGCAGGCUCGAGUUCGGUAGGGGAGACUGGAAUUCCUGGUGUAGCGGUGAAAUGCGCAGAUAUCAGGAGGAACACCGGUGGCGAAGGCGGGUCUCUGGGCCGAUACUGACGCUGAGGAGCGAAAGCGUGGGGAGCGAACAGG